Molecule: ribosomal RNA, 468 nt
Filed under: uncultured bacterium
Lineage: Bacteria
Description: partial 16S ribosomal RNA
Rfam family: Bacterial small subunit ribosomal RNA
Source: RNAcentral
GACGAACGCUGGCGGCGUGCUUAACACAUGCAAGUCGAACGGAAAGUCCCUGCUUUUGUGGGGUGCUCGAGUUGCGAACGGGUGAGUAACACUUGAGUAACCUGCCCUUGACUUUGGGAUAACUUCAUGAAACUUGGGCUAAUACCGGAUAGGAGCUCCUGCUGCAUGGUGGGGGUUGGAAAGUUUCGGCGGUUGGGGAUGGACUCGCGGCUUAUCAGCUUGUUGGUGGGGUAGUGGAUUACCAAGGCUUUGACGGGUAGCCGGCCUGAGAGGGUGACCGGCCAAAUUGGGACUGAGAUACGGCCCAGACUACUCCGGGAGGCAGCAGUGGGGAAUAUUGCACAAUGGGAGGAAGCAUGAUGCAGCAAAGCCGCGUGCGGGAUGACGGCAUUCGGGUUGUAAACCGCUUUCGCCUGUGACGAAGCGUGAGUGACGGUAAUGGGUAAAGAAGCACCGGCUAACUACGUG